RNAcentral lists this transfer RNA (74 nucleotides) under Caulobacter virus Karma. RNAcentral describes it as "tRNA-Gln". It matches the Rfam family "tRNA". Rfam says of the family: Transfer RNA (tRNA) molecules are approximately 80 nucleotides in length. Their secondary structure includes four short double-helical elements and three loops (D, anti-codon, and T loops). Lineage: Duplodnaviria; Heunggongvirae; Uroviricota; Caudoviricetes; Jeanschmidtviridae. The record is from RNAcentral. RNAcentral also lists the same sequence under 6 other names.
UCUCGGGUGGUCUAAUGGUAAGACAUCUGGUUUUGGUCCAGAGGAUUGGGGUUCGAUUCCUUGGCCGAGAACCA